GUUUACAACUGAUAUAUUUUUUAAAAGAGAAACAAACUGAGUUCCAUUGAAAUUAAGAAAUUUAAGCUAAGCAGGGUUGGGCCUGGUUAGUACUUGGAUGGGAGACCACUUAGGAAGACCAGGUGCUGUAGGCA
Ribosomal RNA from Pteropus vampyrus (large flying fox), 134 nucleotides. Lineage: Eukaryota; Metazoa; Chordata; Mammalia; Chiroptera; Pteropodidae. The record is from Ensembl.